AAAGCGUUCGUAGGCGGUUUUAUAAGUCUGCUGUCAAAGUGCGGAGCUCAACUCCGUAAGAGCAGUGGAAACUGUGAGACUAGAGUGUGGUAGGGGUAGAGGGAAUUCCCAGUGUAGCGGUGAAAUGCGUAGAUAUUGGGAAGAACACCGGUGGCGAAAGCGCUCUACUGGACCAUAACUGACGCUGAGGGACGAAAGCUAGGGGAGCGAAAGGGAUUAGAUACCCGAGU
RNAcentral lists this ribosomal RNA (230 nucleotides) under uncultured bacterium. RNAcentral describes it as "partial 16S ribosomal RNA". It matches the Rfam family "Bacterial small subunit ribosomal RNA", at positions 562 to 791 of the family's 1533-position model. The record is from RNAcentral.